This is a long non-coding RNA of Carassius gibelio (silver crucian carp), 514 nucleotides long. RefSeq lists it as uncharacterized. The record is from RefSeq and is a predicted model, not a curated record. The transcript is spliced from 2 exons. NCBI's taxonomy places the organism in Eukaryota, Metazoa, Chordata, Actinopteri, Cypriniformes, Cyprinidae.
CAAAUAGAAUAUUUUAAUAAUUUGCUUUGGUUUUGUACAACGGCAGUAAAUAAUACUUGUUAAAAAUAAAUAAAUAGAUUUACUAGGCUGUUUAUUUGUUUAUUUUUGUCCAAUCGUAUAACUGGGUCUUUUUUUAAUCAUGAAUAUUCAUAAAUAGCAACUUAUUUUAGGUAUAUUUUAGGAAGCAUGUAUCUCAUGUGAUCAUGAUCUUGUUGCUAGUGGCGCCUCACUGUGGUCAAACUACGAACUACAACAGUAACUAUGGACAUCUCUCUACAUAAAAAUGAUAAGCAGGAGGAUCAAGAGAGCUUUGAACAGAGAGGAUGAAUCUGCUGGAGCGCCACCUGCAGGAUGAGCAUUAAAACAGCGUCAUUUAUUCACUGGAUGAACCUGAUCCAGUUAUGAACACUGGACAUUUACAAUUAUUCGAUACACAAUUAAUUUCUAAACGUAAUUCACCAAUUCUGUGUUUUGUACUGUAUUAGUGUUUAAAAUUAAAUUACAUUUACAUAAA